GACGAACGCUGGCGGCGUGCUUAACACAUGCAAGUCGAACGGAAAGGCCCUGCUUUUGUGGGGUGCUCGAGUGGCGAACGUGUGAGUAACACGUGAGUAACCUGCCCUUGACUUUGGGAUAACUUCAGGAAACUGGGGCUAAUACCGGAUAGGAGCUCCUGCUGCAUGGUGGGGGUUGGAAAGUUUCGGCGGUUGGGGAUGGACUCGCGGCUUAUCAGCCUGUUGGUGGGGUAGUGGCCUACCAAGGCUUUGACGGGUAGCCGGCCUGAGGGGGUGACCGGCCACAUUGGGACUGCGAUACGGCCCAGACUCCUACGGGAGGCAGCAGUGGGGAAUAUUGCACAAUGGGCGGAGGCCUGAUGCAGCAACGCCGCGUGCGGGAUGACGGCCUUCGGGUUGUAAACCGCUUUCGCCUGUGACGAAGCGUGAGUGACGGUAAUGGGUAAAGAAGCACCGGCUAACUACGUG
RNAcentral lists this ribosomal RNA (468 nucleotides) under uncultured bacterium. RNAcentral's name for it is "partial 16S ribosomal RNA". It matches the Rfam family "Bacterial small subunit ribosomal RNA", at positions 28 to 507 of the family's 1533-position model. The record is from RNAcentral.